RNAcentral lists this ribosomal RNA (362 nucleotides) under Triticum aestivum (bread wheat). Its description in RNAcentral is "partial small subunit ribosomal RNA". The record is from RNAcentral. Lineage: Eukaryota; Viridiplantae; Streptophyta; Magnoliopsida; Poales; Poaceae.
AUGGCGCCAUCGACCAAGCUCUUCCUCCUGCUCCUCGGUCUGAACCUGAUGGUCGCCGCUGCGCACAACGGAUGCGGACCCCACUGCCCGACCAACGGCUCGUGCCCGAUCGACACGCUGAAGCUGGGCGUGUGUGCCAACGUGCUGAACCUGCUAAAGCUCGGGCUCGACGUGCCACCCAGCGAGCCGUGCUGCCGGCUGCUGGCCGGUCUGGCCGACCUGGAUGCGGCCGUGUGCCUCUGCACCGCCAUCAGGGCCAAGGUCCUCGGCGUAAAUCAACCUCAACGUCCAUGUCGACCUCGUGCUCCUGCUCCACCAGUGCCACAAAGACCUGCCCGCCCGACUUCACCUGCCCGCUCUGA